UACGGAGGGGGCUAGCGUUGUUCGGAAUUACUGGGCGUAAAGCGCACGUAGGCGGCUUUGUAAGUCAGAGGUGAAAGCCCGGGGCUCAACCCCGGAAUAGCCUUUGAGACUGCAUCGCUAGAAUUGUGGAGAGGUAAGUGGAAUUCCGAGUGUAGAGGUGAAAUUCGUAGAUAUUCGGAAGAACACCAGUGGCGAAGGCGACUUACUGGACACAUGUUGACGCUGAGGUGCGAAAGCGUGGGGAGCAAACAGG
RNAcentral lists this ribosomal RNA (253 nucleotides) under uncultured bacterium. Its description in RNAcentral is "partial 16S ribosomal RNA". It matches the Rfam family "Bacterial small subunit ribosomal RNA", at positions 524 to 776 of the family's 1533-position model. The record is from RNAcentral.